RNAcentral lists this transfer RNA (50 nucleotides) under Amazona leucocephala (cuban parrot). RNAcentral's name for it is "partial tRNA-Met". The record is from RNAcentral. Lineage: Eukaryota; Metazoa; Chordata; Aves; Psittaciformes; Psittacidae.
GUAAGGUCAGCUAACAAAGCUAUCGGGCCCAUACCCCGAAAAUGAUGGUU